RNAcentral lists this long non-coding RNA (1197 nucleotides) under Cervus hanglu yarkandensis (Yarkand deer). Its description in RNAcentral is "lncRNA (ENSCHYG00000000271.1)". The record is from RNAcentral. Lineage: Eukaryota; Metazoa; Chordata; Mammalia; Artiodactyla; Cervidae.
AUGCGCCAACGCUUUGUGACCUGCUCCUGGUGUUUUAUUUCACCCCUUCGGGAGCCCACGAGGCGGGCGUUACGAAUGGUUUAUAGAGGAACCCGAGGCCUGAGAGACCGCCCCGUCCAAGGGCUGGGACUCCGGCCCUGGCGCUCACCAGUCUCCUGGUGCCCGGCCCGGGACACACGCCUGCACCCACAGGCCCGGGUCCCCGCCCGCAGUCCGCGCUGUGCUCAUCGCCUCCUGUGCCCUGGACGUGGGCAUCCGGCUGAGAGGAGGAGAGGCCGGCCGCGUCCCUGGGGAGCCGGGACACCUCCGUGGACGCGGGCAUCCGGCGGAGAGGAGGAGAGGCCGGCCCUGUCCCCAGAAGCAGGGACGUGCCCUUCCACGUCCCUGGGUGCGGGGAGGUACCCUGCUGUUAAGAACGGUCUCGGGGGAAGAUCUGAAGGUCGCCGCUCUGCCUACAGACACCUUGGGGUCGCUGUGAGUCCGUUCUAGCUUUUACAAUCCUCCCAGAGCAUUUGGGUGCACUCUGCUCCUCUGGCAGCUGCUGAGGGUCCCUGCGGGGCCUGGACAUUCAGCUGGCUGGGCACCGAGGGAGGAACGUCUUCUCGAGGCUGGUGGACACACUGCGGCUCUGCCCGGGUCGCUGUCCGCGCGUCUGGCCGUGUGCUCCUGGCCUGCAGCCCCUUCUUAGCUCUGGGUGGGCCGGGCCUCAGCCCGCCGUUGUCACAGAGACCGCCAGCUCAUCUCCGUCCAGCGGGGUGGAGGGCUCUGUUGUGUUCCUGGGCGGAAUUUUGUGUUUCCUUGGAUAAUGUAUUAUUUUUAUAAUUAGAGAAAAAUAAACAGCAUAUUUUAAAGCCAAAGGCUGGCUGGGACCUUUCUGAUAUGACUUUUCGUGAAUUCGUUCCUUCUUCCGUGGUACUUGGCGGGGAGGAACCAGGGUCGCAUGGGGCAGCCCCCUCUUGCGUUUGUGUCUGGCUUUAAUUAACCACGUGGAGGCAGCUUCCAUGGGAGGGCGGUCUUGCUGCCGCCAGCCCCCAGCCCCUCGCACGCAUCCCCGCUGCCCCCUUGCCCUCCCGCCCCGUCUCGGCCUCUCCGUGGCCCCGUGUCAGGCAGACCCGCAGCAGCCCGUUCCUCUCCCCCAUCCCAAGGGGCUUAGCUGCCUUGUCGCUGUCUUCAGGGCCCCUGGACCCUGUGCUCACC